AUACCAUAAUAGUGCACUCUUGAAGCCAAUUCAGAUCUCAGCCAUCAUGAUAUAGGUGUCAAUGGCAAAUAAUCAUUUUCUUCUUGCAAGCAUCAAUGGCAAGAAUGGCAUAUUAUGCAGAGAAAGAGGAUGAGAAGAAACUUGUGCUUCUCAUUUAAUCUUUGUCUAACUCUCUUUAUGUGCGAUUGUGUACUUGUUGGGUCCUUUUUCUGUGCACUUGCACCUGCAGAAGUAUUCUGUUGUGCACUUGUAAAAUUAUUUUGAUGUCACUUGUCAGGCCUUGAACCUUAAUGUGUGGAGGAGUCGGUGAAUGAUGUAUUGUAUUUCAUGUGUUGUGGUACUGAAAUGAAAUAUACAGUUUAUCUGCAA
Hordeum vulgare subsp. vulgare (domesticated barley) is the source of this 369-nucleotide long non-coding RNA. RefSeq lists it as uncharacterized. NCBI's taxonomy places the organism in Eukaryota, Viridiplantae, Streptophyta, Magnoliopsida, Poales, Poaceae. The transcript is spliced from 2 exons. The record is from RefSeq and is a predicted model, not a curated record.